RNAcentral lists this ribosomal RNA (253 nucleotides) under uncultured bacterium. RNAcentral describes it as "partial 16S ribosomal RNA". It matches the Rfam family "Bacterial small subunit ribosomal RNA", at positions 524 to 776 of the family's 1533-position model. The record is from RNAcentral.
UACGGAGUGUGCAAGCGUUACUCGGAAUCACUGGGCAUAAAGGGCGUGUAGGCAGGCUUUCAAGUCGGUUGUGAAAUCCCUCAGCUCAACUGAGAAACUGCAUCCGAUACUGUUUGUCUUGAGGACGAGAGGGGAGAGUGGAACUUCUGGUGGAGCGGUGAAAUGCGUAGAUAUCAGAAGGAACGCCGGUGGCGAAAGCGACUCUCUGGCUCGUAUCUGACGCUGAAACGCGAAAGCCAGGGGAGCGAACGGG